UCAGUGCAAAACAGAACUUUG
This 21-nucleotide microRNA is filed under the name Petromyzon marinus (sea lamprey). RNAcentral's name for it is "pma-miR-152b". Its record names the gene pma-miR-152b. The record is from miRBase by way of RNAcentral. Lineage: Eukaryota; Metazoa; Chordata; Hyperoartia; Petromyzontiformes; Petromyzontidae.